This 290-nucleotide ribosomal RNA is filed under the name Uroplatus fetsy. Its description in RNAcentral is "partial 12S ribosomal RNA". The record is from RNAcentral. Lineage: Eukaryota; Metazoa; Chordata; Lepidosauria; Squamata; Gekkonidae.
AACAGCUAAAAAUUCAAAAGACUUGACAGCAUCUCACACCAACCUAGAGGAGCCUGUCCUAUAAUCGACAACCCACGCUUUACCCUACCCCCCCACGCAUAAUCAGCCUAUAUACCGCCGUCGCCAGCACGCCUGAUAACAGCAACCAAAGCGAGUACAAUGACUUAUACCGCACAUACGACAGGUCAAGGUGUAGCUUAUGGGGCGGAAGAGAUGGGCUACACUACCCCACAAUGGAGCACCAAACUGAUAUGAAAACAACACGCAAAGCCGGAUUUAGAAGUAAGUGG